Long non-coding RNA from Psammomys obesus (fat sand rat), 1529 nucleotides. RefSeq lists it as uncharacterized. The transcript has 4 exons. The record is from RefSeq and is a predicted model, not a curated record. NCBI's taxonomy places the organism in Eukaryota, Metazoa, Chordata, Mammalia, Rodentia, Muridae.
GCCCCGCCUCGGCCACGCCCACCGCCGCUCCGAGCCGCGCCUCGGUCUGGCGCACCUGCAGAACAGGCUCCUGAAGUGGUUCUACUGCCUUCCGUGGGCUUUAGCCUGAAUUAAUCGGGUACCAGCUGGACCCUGAUUGGCUGAAUUUGGGUAUGCAAAUAAGAUGAAGAGAUGAUAUCAAUCAAGGAAGAGCUGUCAAACCUGGUGGGGAAAAGAGAACCCUGAGCCAACCAAAAGUUUCUAAAUCUGUAAUGGCCUCUGGUGCACACCUGUUUUUCCAGCACUCAGGGAAGCCGGCAGAUCACUGUGAGUUCGAGGCCAGCCAGGUCUACAGGGUGAGCUCCAGGACAGCUGAGGCUGCACAGAGAAAUGAAAAUCUGCUCUACAGACAAUGUGUUUAAAAGCCUCCGGUGCUUUAAGAUCCAUCAUCAAGAGAAGCCAGAGCAAAAACUCAAGCAGAAACCUGGAGACAGAGCCUGAAGCUGAGGCCAGGCUUGGGGCCAUGGAAAGACACUGUUUGCAGCAGUAGCUUGCUCAGUGCCUCAGGGCUGUCUGCCCUGGGAAGGCGCCUCCCACAGUAAACUGGGCUCUCCCAAUUAGUCAUCAAUUAAUAAUAUGCUUGACAGACUUGCCCACAGGCUAAUCUGAUAUAGGCAAUUCCUCAACCGAUGUUACCUGUUCCAAAAGGACUCCAGUUUGUGUCAAGUCGACAAAAAAAAAAAAAAAAAAAAUUAACCAGCACAAAUCUCAAGGAGCUUUCUAAUUAUGGCCAUUUCUUCCUAAGUACCUUUCCAUAGACCAUAUAAGAAAUUAAAGCUGAAAAGUAUUUAGAAUAUUUCUUUUUCUUUUUACAUAUUCUAAGAAACAUAAAAAUAAAAUAAGGUAUAGUUUGCAGAAUAAAAGCUUGAGAAGAAUAGCCCUUCUCUUUGUGUUUCUACAAGUCUUGCUAGUAUUUGACUUAAUAGAAGACAAUGGAAGUCUCACACCUGCUUCUGAAUUCUCUUUGUGGAGAUGUUACAUGGCUUGUGUCCUCUGGGAAACUUUCCUUUGGGCUCAUGAGAGAAUGAGGGUUCAAAAGGCAAAUAAUGUCUCAGCUGACCCCCUCAAAAGAUUUCUAGGAUCCGCAAGGGUGUCCAGACUUCCUCUCGAGAGCUACAGCUCUAAAUAUUUACUUAGAUAUCUGCUAAACUCUGAGGAAGGUCUAGACAGCUGCAUUCCAAAAGCAGAGAAUGGCAUUAUCACAAGAACUUAUAUGGAAGAGUCUAAUUCUCCCCUGCCUCAGAUGUUUAACAAAUUUUGUGUGUUCUCUUUUCCAUUAGAAAAAAAAAAUAAGUACCUAUAAUGCCACUAUUAAAACAAAGUUAGCUGGGUGGAAGUGUUGCACGCCUUUAAUCCAAGCAUUCAGGGGGCAGAGGCAGGUGGAUAUCUGUGAGUCUGAGACCAGCCUGGUCUACAGAGUGAGAUCCAAGACAGCCAAGGCUACACAGAGGAACCCUGUCUCUAAAUAAAUAAAUAAAUAUGUUUUGAUA